GCCAGGCGUGGUGGUGCGUGCCUGUAAUCCCAGCUACUCAGGAGGCUGAGGCAGGAUAAUCACUUGAACCCGGGAGGCAGAGGUUGCAGUGAGUCAAGAUCAUGCCACUGCACUGCACUCCAGCCUGGGUAAUAGAGUGAGACUCUGUCUCAA
Molecule: non-coding RNA, 153 nt
Filed under: Homo sapiens (human)
Lineage: Eukaryota; Metazoa; Chordata; Mammalia; Primates; Hominidae
Source: Rfam by way of RNAcentral